GACGAACGCUGGCGGCGUGCCUAAUACAUGCAAGUUGAGCGCUGAAGGUUGGUCCUUGUCCCGACUGGCUGAGCAGCGAACGGGUGAGUAACGCGUGGGGAAUCUGCCUUUGAGCGGGGGACAACAUUUGGAAACGAAUGCUAAUACCGCAUAAAACCUUUAAACACAAGUUUUAAGUUUGAAAGAUGCAAUUGCAUCACUCAAAGAUGAUCCCGCGUUGUAUUAGCUAGUUGGUGAGGUAAAGGCUCACCAAGGCGAUGAUACAUAGCCGACCUGAGAGGGUGAUCGGCCACAUUGGGACUGAGACACGGCCCAAACUCCUACGGGAGGCAGCAGUAGGGAAUCUUCGGCAAUGGACGAAAGUCUGACCGAGCAACGCCGCGUGAGUGAAGAAGGGUUUCGGAUCGUAAAACUCUGUUGGUAGAGAAGAACGUUGGUGAGAGUGGAAAGCUCAUCAAGUGACGGUAACUACCCAGAAAGGGACGGCUAACUACGUG
RNAcentral lists this ribosomal RNA (497 nucleotides) under uncultured bacterium. RNAcentral describes it as "partial 16S ribosomal RNA". It matches the Rfam family "Bacterial small subunit ribosomal RNA", at positions 28 to 507 of the family's 1533-position model. The record is from RNAcentral.